GCGAAAGUGGCGGAAUUGGUAGACGCCCUGGAUUUAGGUUCCAGUGCCGCAAGGGUGACCUCGUGGGGGUUCGAGUCCCCCCUUUCGCACCA
This 92-nucleotide transfer RNA is filed under the name Stenotrophomonas maltophilia. RNAcentral describes it as "tRNA-Leu". It matches the Rfam family "tRNA". From Rfam's summary of the family: Transfer RNA (tRNA) molecules are approximately 80 nucleotides in length. Their secondary structure includes four short double-helical elements and three loops (D, anti-codon, and T loops). Lineage: Bacteria; Pseudomonadati; Pseudomonadota; Gammaproteobacteria; Lysobacterales; Lysobacteraceae. The record is from RNAcentral.